Molecule: non-coding RNA, 2220 nt
Organism: Misgurnus anguillicaudatus (oriental weatherfish)
Lineage: Eukaryota; Metazoa; Chordata; Actinopteri; Cypriniformes; Cobitidae
Source: RefSeq, a predicted model, not a curated record
UAACUUAAAGAAAGUACACUUUCAUCAUAAUAUUUAUAAACACACUUAAGUGCACUUUUAAUAAUGCACUUUGUAAUAAUAUCUAAUUAAUUUGAACUUAUAGUAAGUACACUUUCAUCACAAUAUUUCACUAACACACUUAAGGACACUUUUUAAAAAUGCACUUUGUAAUAAUAUCUAAAUAAUUUUAAAUUAUAGUAAGUACACUUUCAUCAUAAUAUUUAUAAACACACUUAAGUGCACUUUUAAAAAUGCACUUUGUAUUAAUGUCUAAUUAAGCUUAACUUAUAGUAAGUACACUUUCAUCACAAUAUUUCUUAACAUACUUAAGUACACUUUUUAAAAAUGCACUUUGUCUAAUUUAGUUUUACUUAAAUGUAACCCUGGUUAAAUAAUUAAAUAUUAUUAUUUUAAAAGUGUGCUUAGAUAUAAUAGAGACUAUUCAUACAUCUACAUUUAUUUUAUAAAUGAGGAAAUACAUGUGAAUAAUUUAAUCUGAAUUAUAAAUCUGAAAUGACUAAACCAAUCGGAGUGUUUAAUUGUAAGCUCCGCCCCUUUUUGCUUUCGGAUCGCGUCUCAGUUCACUUCAGAGGAGAGAUGCAGAGCGACAGAGACACUCGAUCUAACGCGAGAGUGUUUAAUUUGAUUAAAUAUGACUCCUAAGUUCAUAUAAACUGAAGAAAUCAGAAUUUAACUUGCAUAUAUUCAAUGAUACAGCGUGAUUGUGUGGAUUGAGCACUUUUUGAGCUUUCAUUUUGACCUGUGUGAUUAUGUAAAACCACAUGGUGCGUUGUGUUCACUGCUGUUCGCUGACGCCAUUUUGGUUGCACGUGCCUGUGAAAGACAAAAGGUGUGUUCGACUUCAUGCGGCGCUGCGCAGACCGAUCGGCGGCUGACUUAAAGCAGUGCAUUCCGGUUAGUAUUUUUGUCCGACUUCAGCUGCCGCUGCAGGCACGUGACUGUGUCAUAUGGUUUUUAAGUACCGCGAGAGCGGUUCGAGAUCAGCCGCCUGAGUUAGCCAGCGCAGUUCGCGAAGAGGAGCUGCACGGGCUGUAAUGACGACACAGCUGUUUCACGAUUGGUCGGAUUCACCACAUGACAACAAUCAAGUGUGUUUCGUGCUUAUUUUCACGCCCUCUCAGUUCCACAAAUGCUCACAAAUCUGUAUUUUUAUAACAGUUAAAGCUCUUUUCAUGUAGUCGCGAUGUUAUAUUGUGUCAUCUUCAUCAAAAUAAAAUGGAAAUAGAAAUGAAAAAACAUAGACCCCACUUCAUUGGUAUUUAAAUAAUUUAUGCUUAUUUUGAACUUUAUUCUUGUAAAAACAGAUGAUGUAAGCCUCUUCAGUUCCACUCAUGCUCAUACACGGACAUUCAAAACAAUAUAAAUCACUUUUUAUGUAGUUUACAUCUUACAAAUCAUGUUUAUUGCGAUAAAGCAAGCAAACGGCACGUGAUCAGCCAUGCCUGACGUAAAUGCCGCAAACUACGGGAAGCACAGCGCGUCCGACUUCACGUCUCCGUUUUCAGCUCCUCCCCACCUGCACGCGGCUAAUCUUGCCGAUCGAUUACAUCCAGCCGCAGCCGAUGUCGAACACACCUAAAAAGAGAGAGAAACAUGUGAAUGGACAGGUAUUUGUCUAAAUUGUCAUUUAUUAUGAUGAUGGCACUUUUGUAUGUAUUUUAUUUUUUCUGUAUUAUGUACAAUUGUUAAUCAUCAUUGAUACACAAUAUGGAAUGUUUUUUCCUUUCGUAUGAACAUUCCUUGAGCUGGAUUUUCCUAAUUGAUGGCGAGCCUCCCAUUUCGACCUGAUUGGACCACGAAUCUAGAGGAAAGGACAAUUUUCUAUUUUAAAUAUUUUUCUUCAGAAAAGUAAGAGGAUACAUUUCAGAAACUGUUUCCUUAUUUUGUUUGUUUACUUUAUUGAACUGAAACAUUUCAGAAGCACAAUUCUGAUAAUUUAAGACUGAUCAAUACUCCAAUUGAUAAGAACUUUGAACUUGAAUACUGAUUUCAGUGUGUUACAUAUAUAAUUUGUACCAUCCUUGUACAUUGAUUGUGACUGUGAUUUCUGUAAAUGAGAAGUAAUUUAGAGGGUGCACCCAUAGUAUAUAUAGUUAAUUGUAUUUUCAUUGUUGUUUACCAUUUUUUGUGAUUAAGGAAAGAUAAAGAAAAAGAAAGGUUUCUCAAUACUCAAAGUAAAAUAAUUUAUUAAUCAACUUA